UUAGGACGAACGCUGGCGGCGUGCCUAAUACAUGCAAGUCGAACGAACUCUGGUAUUGAUUGGUGCUUGCAUCAUGAUUUACAUUUGAGUGAGUGGCGAACUGGUGAGUAACACGUGGGAAACCUGCCCAGAAGCGGGGGAUAACACCUGGAAACAGAUGCUAAUACCGCAUAACAACUUGGACCGCAUGGUCCGAGUUUGAAAGAUGGCUUCGGCUAUCACUUUUGGAUGGUCCCGCGGCGUAUUAGCUAGAUGGUGGGGUAACGGCUCACCAUGGCAAUGAUACGUAGCCGGCCUGAGAGGGUAAUCGGCCACAUUGGGACUGAGACACGGCCCAAACUCCUACGGGAGGCAGCAGUAGGGAAUCUUCCACAAUGGACGAAAGUCUGAUGGAGCAACGCCGCGUGAGUGAAGAAGGGUUUCGGCUCGUAAAACUCUGUUGUUAAAGAAGAACAUAUCUGAGAGUAACUGUUCAGGUAUUGACGGUAUUUAACCAGAAAGCCACGGCUAACUACGUGCCAGCAGCCGCGGUAAUACGUAGGUGGCAAGCGUUGUCCGGAUUUAUUGGGCGUAAAGCGAGCGCAGGCGGUUUUUUAAGUCUGAUGUGAAAGCCUUCGGCUCAACCGAAGAAGUGCAUCGGAAACUGGGAAACUUGAGUGCAGAAGAGGACAGUGGAACUCCAUGUGUAGCGGUGAAAUGCGUAGAUAUAUGGAAGAACACCAGUGGCGAAGGCGGCUGUCUGGUCUGUAACUGACGCUGAGGCUCGAAAGUAUGGGUAGCAAACAGGAUUAGAUACCCUGGUAGUCCAUACCGUAAACGAUGAAUGCUAAGUGUUGGAGGGUUUCCGCCCUUCAGUGCUGCAGCUAACGCAUUAAGCAUUCCGCCUGGGGAGUACGGCCGCAAGGCUGAAACUCAAAGGAAUUGACGGGGGCCCGCACAAGCGGUGGAGCAUGUGGUUUAAUUCGAAGCUACGCGAAGAACCUUACCAGGUCUUGACAUACUAUGCAAAUCUAAGAGAUUAGACGUUCCCUUCGGGGACUUGGAUACAGGUGGUGCAUGGUUGUCGUCAGCUCGUGUCGUGAGAUGUUGGGUUAAGUCCCGCAACGAGCGCAACCCUUAUUAUCAGUUGCCAGCAUUAAGUUGGGCACUCUGGUGAGACUGCCGGUGACAAACCGGAGGAAGGUGGGGAUGACGUCAAAUCAUCAUGCCCCUUAUGACCUGGGCUACACACGUGCUACAAUGGAUGGUACAACGAGUUGCGAACUCGCGAGAGUAAGCUAAUCUCUUAAAGCCAUUCUCAGUUCGGAUUGUAGGCUGCAACUCGCCUACAUGAAGUCGGAAUCGCUAGUAAUCGCGGAUCAGCAUGCCGCGGUGAAUACGUUCCCGGGCCUUGUACACACCGCCCGUCACACCAUGAGAGUUUGUAACACCCAAAGUCGGUGGGGUAACCUUUUAGGAACCAGCCGCCUAAGGUGGGACAGAUGAUU
Molecule: ribosomal RNA, 1487 nt
Filed under: uncultured organism
Description: SSU rRNA
Rfam family: Bacterial small subunit ribosomal RNA
Source: RNAcentral